UCAAGACUUCUAGGGGUGAAUGAAAACCGAAGCUUACAUUUCAAGAUCGCGUUUGUUUGAAGCAGGAAGCCGGGGAUAACUUAUGUGGAUACUUUCGCGAGAUGGUGUGUCACCGGGAGGCGGAAAAGGCUAUACAUGCCCUUCAUAUGGAACGCAUGCGGGACACUCUCCUAACAGUGGAUCGCUUACGAGCAAUUCAAGAGGAAUUGGCGAGAUUCUAAGUUAGAGAGGUCAUAGCUCCAACUAGAGCAUACCAUCGGGAGUUAAUAUUUGACAUUAUGGAUAGAAAAUAGAGAUGCUGAGAUGGUAAAGAGGAUCGACUCUAUAUUAUAACUAUGCAUUA
Molecule: long non-coding RNA, 343 nt
Organism: Lolium rigidum
Lineage: Eukaryota; Viridiplantae; Streptophyta; Magnoliopsida; Poales; Poaceae
Exons: 3
Source: RefSeq, a predicted model, not a curated record